AGUCGAGCGGAACGAGUUAUCUGAACCUUCGGGGAACGAUAACGGCGUCGAGCGGCGGACGGGUGAGUAAUGCCUAGGAAAUUGCCUUGAUGUGGGGGAUAACCAUUGGAAACGAUGGCUAAUACCGCAUAAUGCCUACGGGCCAAAGAGGGGGACCUUCGGGCCUCUCGCGUCAAGAUAUGCCUAGGUGGGAUUAGCUAGUUGGUGAGGUAAUGGCUCACCAAGGCGACGAUCCCUAGCUGGUCUGAGAGGAUGAUCAGCCACACUGGAACUGAGACACGGUCCAGACUCCUACGGGAGGCAGCAGUGGGGAAUAUUGCACAAUGGGCGCAAGCCUGAUGCAGCCAUGCCGCGUGUAUGAAGAAGGCCUUCGGGUUGUAAAGUACUUUCAGUCGUGAGGAAGGUUCAUGCGUUAAUAGCGUAUGGAUUUGACGUUAGCGACAGAAGAAGCACCGGCUAACUCCGUGCCAGCAGCCGCGGUAAUACGGAGGGUGCGAGCGUUAAUCGGAAUUACUGGGCGUAAAGCGCAUGCAGGUGGUUUGUUAAGUCAGAUGUGAAAGCCCGGGGCUCAACCUCGGAACUGCAUUUGAAACUGGCAAACUAGAGUACUGGAGAGGGGGGGGUAGAAUUCUCAGGUGUAGCGGUGAAAAUGCGUAGAGAUCAGAAAGGAAUACCAGUGGACGAAGGCGGCCCCCCUGCACAGAUACUCACACUCAGAUGAGAAAGCGUGGGGAGCAAACAGGAUUAGAUACCCGUGAUAGUACACGCCGUAAACGAGAUGUAUACUUAGAGGUUGUCCCCUGAGACCCGUGGCUCUCAGAGAUAACGGCGUAUAAAUAGCCCCCGUGGGGAGUACUGUCGCAAGUUUAAAUCUCAAAUGAAUUGACGGGGGCCCGCACAAGCGGUGGCACAUGUGGUAUAAUUAGAUGCAACGCGAAGAACCUUAUAUUCUCUUGACACCGAGAGAACUUCGCAGAGAUGCUUUGGUGCUUUCGGGAUCUGUGACACAGGUGGCACAUGGCUGUUCUCAUCUCGUGUUGAGAAAUGGUGGUAUAAGUCCCGCAGCGAGCGCAACCUUUAUCCUUUUUUCACAGCGUGUAAUGUCGGGAUCCACAGAGAGACUCCCGGUGAUAACCGGGAGAGAGGGGGGGGCGACCUCAAGUCAUCAUGCCCCUUACGAAUAGGUCUACACACGUUAUACAAUGGCGCAUACAGAGGGCACACAACUCGCGAGAGAGAGCGAAUCACAAAAAGUGUGUUAUAGUCCGGAUGGGAGUCCACAUCUCGUCCACAAGAAGUGGGAAUCUAUUGUUAUUGUAGAUCAGAAUUCUACGGAGAAUACGUUCCCGGGCCUUGUACACCGCGCCUCUCACAACAGGGGAGUGGGCCGCAAAAGAAGUGUAUAGUAUAACCUUCGGGAGGACGCU
This 1427-nucleotide ribosomal RNA is filed under the name Vibrionaceae bacterium BHES2. RNAcentral's name for it is "16S ribosomal RNA". It matches the Rfam family "Bacterial small subunit ribosomal RNA". The record is from RNAcentral. Lineage: Bacteria; Pseudomonadati; Pseudomonadota; Gammaproteobacteria; Vibrionales; Vibrionaceae. RNAcentral also lists the same sequence under 1 other name.